AAAGACGCCUGGGUCCUCCAGACGGUUCGCGGUUUCGUCAUAGACUUCUCCGCACGACCCAUUCAAAACGCUCCCCCUCCCCCAAUCCACAUGUCGUCAAGACAAAGCCACCUAGUAGACGAAGAGAUCCACGCUCUCUUCGAGAAAGGCGCGAUACAAUACGCACGGGGAGGCUUUCUAAGCAACAUUUUCUUGGUCAAGAAGAAGACGGGCGAGUACAGGCUGAUUAUCAAUCUCCGGCAGUUAAACUCAUUCGUAAUCUACAGACACUUCAAGAUGGAAGGAAUCCAUCUUCUACAAGACCUUCUCGUCAAGGACGACUGGUUUACGCGUCUGGACCUCAAAGAUGCGUAUCUGUCCGUCCCAGUGGACGUACACUGCCGACAAUUCCUCCGCUUCCGAUGGAGAGGAUGGAUAUGCCAAUUUACAUGUCUGCCAUUCGGCCUCAGCUCGGCUCCGUGGUGCUUCACGAAGCUACUGAGACCAGUGAUGGCUCACAUCCGAACGAGGGGCAUACGAUGUCUCGUAUACUUGGACGAUUUGCUGAUCUUUUGCGAAUCCACAUCCAGGCUACGAUCAC
Non-coding RNA from Pelobates cultripes (western spadefoot toad), 580 nucleotides. The record is from the annotation of a GenBank genome assembly. Lineage: Eukaryota; Metazoa; Chordata; Amphibia; Anura; Pelobatidae.